RNAcentral lists this ribosomal RNA (500 nucleotides) under uncultured Glomeromycotina. Its description in RNAcentral is "partial small subunit ribosomal RNA". It matches the Rfam family "Eukaryotic small subunit ribosomal RNA", at positions 591 to 1092 of the family's 1831-position model. The record is from RNAcentral. Lineage: Eukaryota; Fungi; Glomeromycota.
CCAAUAGCGUAUAUUAAAGUUGUUGCAGUUAAAAAGCUCGUAGUUGAAUUUCGGGAUCAAUAUGUCGGUCGUGCCUUCGGUACGUACUGGCAUCAUUGAUUUCUCCCUUCUGACGAACCCUGAUGUCAUUAAUUUGGUGUCAUGGGGAGUCAGGACUGUUACUUUGAAAAAAUUAGAGUGUUUAAAGCAGGCUCACGCUUGAAUACAUUAGCAUGGAAUAAUGAAAGAGGACGUUUGAUCCUAUUUUGUUGGUUUCUAGGAUCGACGUAAUGAUUAAUAGGGAUAGUUGGGGGCAUUAGUAUUCAAUUGUCAGAGGUGAAAUUCUUGGAUUUAUUGAAGACUAACUACUGCGAAAGCAUUUGCCAAGGAUGUUUUCAUUAAUCAAGAACGAAAGUUAGGGGAUCGAAGACGAUCAGAUACCGUCGUAGUCUUAACCAUAAACUAUGCCGACUAGGGAUCGGAUGAUGUUAAUUUUUUAAUGACUCAUUCGGCGCCUUACG